GAUGAAGAACGUAGCGAAAUGCGAUAAGUAAUGUGAAUUGCAGAAUUCAGUGAAUCAUCGAAUUUUUGAACGCACAUUGCGCCUCUCGGUAUUCCGGGAGGCACGCCUGUUCGAGCGCCAUUACACCCUCCAAGCUGCGGCUUGAUGUUGGGCGAGGUCCUCUUGUUGAUUCUCCUCUGUGAGGAGGGUAGGAGAGGACGCGCCUGGAACGCGUGGGCGGGCGUCAGUCAGAGCGCGAGCGUAGCGAGGCUGUGAAAGGUCAAAGUCGCUCGGGAUUGGAUCUGGCGGACGCGUGGCCGAAAGGAGGGAGGAAUUGAUCUCUCUCCGUCGAAUUUCGUAUGGUUUGGCCUCGGAUCAGGCGGGGAUACCCGCUGAACUUAAGCAUAUAAUAAGCGGAGGA
Molecule: unclassified non-coding RNA, 400 nt
Filed under: soil metagenome
Description: partial contains 5.8S ribosomal RNA, internal transcribed spacer 2, and large subunit ribosomal RNA
Rfam family: 5.8S ribosomal RNA (bases 1-120)
Source: RNAcentral